CUUUUUUGCAUUUAGAGGUCAGAAACGGUAUACCACUGAUCAAUUCUGUUAUAAAUAUAAAUAAAUAAAUUUUAAGUUGUAUUUGUUUUGUUUUGUAUUAAAAAUUGUAUUAUUGUAUUUUGAUUGUUAAAAUCUAGAAUUUCACCUGUGGUAUACGGCCUCGUAUUAAUAUCGACACAUGCCCGUUCCACUAUAUAACCACGUCUCGUAAAAUUAAACAAC
This 222-nucleotide small RNA is filed under the name Arabidopsis thaliana (thale cress). RNAcentral describes it as "ATSL150160". The record is from RNAcentral. Lineage: Eukaryota; Viridiplantae; Streptophyta; Magnoliopsida; Brassicales; Brassicaceae.